This 477-nucleotide ribosomal RNA is filed under the name uncultured bacterium. RNAcentral's name for it is "partial 16S ribosomal RNA". It matches the Rfam family "Bacterial small subunit ribosomal RNA", at positions 28 to 506 of the family's 1533-position model. The record is from RNAcentral.
GAUGAACGCUGGCGGCGUGCUUAACACAUGCAAGUCGAACGAGAAAUGUAGACGGAAACCUUCGGGCGGAAGCCUUCAUUUCGAGUGGCGGACGGGUGAGUAACGCGUGGGUAACCUGCCUCAUACAGGGGGAUAACAGUUGGAAACGACUGUUAAUACCGCAUAAGACCACAGCAUCGCAUGAUGCGGGGGUAAAAACUCCGGUGGUAUGAGAUGGACCCGCGUUCGAUUAGCCAGUUGGCGGGGUAACGGCCCAACAAAGCGACGAUCGAUAGCCGAUCUGAGAGGAUGACCGGCCACAUUGGGACUGAGACACGGCCCAAACUCCUACGGGAGGCAGCAGUGGGGAAUAUUGCACAAUGGGGGAAACCCUGAUGCAGCGACGCCGCGUGAGUGAAGAAGUACUUCGGUAUGUAAAGCUCUAUCAGCAGGGAAGAAAAUGACGGUACCUGAGUAAGAAGCCCCGGCUAACUACGU